Molecule: long non-coding RNA, 2101 nt
Filed under: Paramuricea clavata
Lineage: Eukaryota; Metazoa; Cnidaria; Anthozoa; Malacalcyonacea; Plexauridae
Source: RNAcentral
GGAAAUUCCCCCCCCCCCUCAAAACGUGGCGAUAUUCCUAGGAAUAUCGCCCCCGGGGGCGCAUAUCCUAGGAAUAUCGCCUCCCAGGGGGUGGGGCGAAUACCAUAGGUAUAUCGCCCCUCUUUAGGACAUUCGCCCCCCAUAUAUGCGAUGUGGUUUAUUCAAAUAAUUUCGUGAUACUUUCAUCUUAUUAUUGCCUUACACGUUUGAGAAUUUAACUCUUCAAAACUAAAGCUUUUUUGUCUUUUUUUGAAACGUAUUAUUGGAGUAUUGGCAAGUUUUACCAUUCAGAGAUUUACAAACUAAUAUUGAAACUGUAAAAAACAGUUUCAUGUAUACGCGCAUUCACUAAUGAGUAAUGACAACUUAUAAGCCAUACAUUUUCCGAUAACGACAGAACGCUUGUGUAGCCUUUAGUCGCUCUUAGUGAUUAAUAGUUUUUUUUGAGGGGGGGCAAAAAAUAAUUUUGGGGGGGCAUUUGCCCCCCCUUGCCCCCCCCCCCUGGCGCCGCCACUGCUAGAACCUCUAGCUAGAAAUGGGCACUUAUAUGGUUCGGACGAUUAAAAUUGUUUCGCGUUAGACAGAGUAAAAUAAAUAUCUAAUUAACCGCCAACCUAGAUCUAGAACCUUUACUCGGCCUGCUUUGGCAGGUUUGGUCAAUUUUGGACUAGGAUUUGGGAAGUAAUAUACGCCUACAUGCGAAGCAAGGUGCCUCACGUUACUUUCAUUUCGCAUGUGAUGUCUACUUACCAAAUGCUACCCUAAGAUUGGCCAAACCUCCCAAAGCCUGCCAGCUGCCGAAUGAAGGGUCUAGGUCCAGAUUGCGUAACCGUCAUAUCUGCUAUAUGGUUAUUUAAAGGUUAAAGGAUUAGUGUCAGGGUCAUGCAUUGCGGGCUUUUGUUAUUGUUUACAUUUUACUCAAAUACAACAAAUAGCGAUAAGAAUACCUUGUUUGGUACAUUUCUGAUAAGAAUCAGACAAAAAGAGCAAGGAUUAUAAAAGGAUGCUUUAAAUAUAUGACGGAUUGUAAACACUUUCCGGAUCAUCUAGUCUAUUCGUCCCGAAAAAUGGCCGCCAAGAGGAGUUUGAGCCCGCGAAUUCCUGGCGUGACACUAAUCCUUUAAGUCGAGUAAAGUAAGAUUGUCUGGGCCAAGGCAGGCCCAGCUCUAACAAUAGCAGUUGCCCAGAUUCGCUGGAUUUAGUCUGGCCAAAAGUCAAAGUUUGUUUGAACUACCAAAAGGUAGGCCAGGGCAAGGCUCAGGCCAGGGAACUAAGCCUGCCCUGUAAAUGCACUUUAAAAUUGAUAGUGGAUUUGCAAUAAGUCGACAGACACGUACAUAUAGAUAGGUUAGCACAGGGUAAAAAUGCAAUUUUAACAGUAUGACUGUCAGAACCGUCAGAACUAAUCAAUGCAACCAUACUCAACAAACUAUCCCAACCUGCAUGUGUGUUGCUUGAAUACAGUGUUUCUCUAACUCAGCGGAUGAUUAAGCAUUCAACUUGUGGCGUGCAGCGGGAUCGACCCAAAAUUGAACUGGACUUUUGUAAGACUUAAAAUAAUUUGGACAGAAAUUAUGCAUGUUUCAAUUCAUGCACGCUCUCGACCUCAUAAUUGAUAUGGCUGGGUAUAUAUGGGGAUUUUGCAUUUAGAUCUUUGCAAUUUUGGACAACUCCCUUUCACGCCUGAUAUAUUAUUUUUCGGUAUAACCCCCCAAACCAGAAAAGGUUUGUAUUACAGAGAGUAUUCACAUGUUAAUACACAUGCAGUAGCUUACUUUUUUAUAAUACUAUUAUUGAAGGCUAAAAAUUAAUUGAAAAUAAUAUGAAAUGACAGUACUUUAUGGAAAAACCCCAGAAUAUUUUCAACCUUUCACAACCGUAGAGUUCUCUUUGACAAGUAAUAAAAUCAUCCGUCACGACCCUGACUAACUUAAUUGACUACUAAACUUGGCUAACUAUUACAAUAGUGAAAUAAAAGAAUACACAAGAAAGUUCUUCAUGCCAAUUCCAAUCCCACCUUGACACAACCAAUAAAAAACUUUUAAAUUUUGUAAAUUGCCCAUUUGUCAUAUAUAUUUGAAUGAAUAGUAAUAGAAAGGUG